CCUACGGGAGGCAGCAGUGAGGAAUAUUGGUCAAUGGGCGCAAGCCUGAACCAGCCAAGUAGCGUGAAGGAUGACUGCCCUACGGGUUGUAAGCUUCUUUUAUAAAGGAAUAAGGUGAGGCACGUGUGCCUUUUUGUGUGUACUUUAUGUAUGAGGCUCGACUAACGCCGUGCCAGCAGCCGCGGUAAUACUGAGGAUGCGAGCGUUAUCCAGAUUUAUUGGGUUUAAAGGGUGCGUAGGCGGCCGUUUAAGUCAGCGGGGAACGUCUGUGGCGCAACCAUAGAAUUGCCGUUGAAACUGGGAGGCUUGAGUAUGUGUGAGGCAGGCGGAAUGCGUGGUGUAGCGGUGAAAUGCUUAGAUAUCACGCAGAACCCCGAUUGCGAAGGCAGCCUGCCAGGCCAUGACUGACGCUGAUGCACGAAAGCGUGGGGAUCAAACAGGAUUAGAUACCCGUGUAGUC
RNAcentral lists this ribosomal RNA (460 nucleotides) under uncultured bacterium. Its description in RNAcentral is "partial 16S ribosomal RNA". It matches the Rfam family "Bacterial small subunit ribosomal RNA", at positions 338 to 795 of the family's 1533-position model. The record is from RNAcentral.